Molecule: unclassified non-coding RNA, 495 nt
Filed under: Hevea brasiliensis (rubber tree)
Lineage: Eukaryota; Viridiplantae; Streptophyta; Magnoliopsida; Malpighiales; Euphorbiaceae
Source: RNAcentral
CUAUGAACUACAAAUUGAAUUCCCAAGCAUGGUUUGAGUAAUUGUACAAGUAUAUAUUGUCACUUGUGCUAGGGUAUCCACGAAAUGGGAACAAAUUUUUGGAAUAUUUGGAGGUUGAAAAAUAUUGGUAAAUGGGCCAUCUUCAUGUGUUUGUAUAAGGAGCAACAUCCAAAGAGUCAAAGGGACCAAGUUUGAUGGAAGUGAUUACUCAAUCCUCCAUAUCCUUCUCUCAUCACACUCUCCAUCUCUUUUGCCUCUUGUGCCUUUGCCCUCUGCAUUUCUAUUUCGUCUGUUUCUGCACUGAAGUCAUAAAAUGUACUUGCUGCAGUGAGCUUCAUUGAUAGAAACUCAACUUGAUUCUGCAGAGACUGAACAUAAUUAAUUAUCUCAUCCAACAUUACUGCCAUGCCCAUGGUCUUGUAGCAGCCUGGGACAAUAUCUUGCAAGCAUCUUAGUCUGUCAUUGAUUUUUUCUCUUCUUACCCUUUCUGCUAAA